Long non-coding RNA from Dermacentor albipictus, 769 nucleotides. RefSeq lists it as uncharacterized. The record is from RefSeq and is a predicted model, not a curated record. Lineage: Eukaryota; Metazoa; Arthropoda; Arachnida; Ixodida; Ixodidae.
GCUGGAUUGCGACACACUCAGUAUCGCUGACUCUGUGACCGAAGUUGGAGAGAUGUUAAUAGAAGAGCGGCAUCUUGGCAGUACAUUUUUGAGCUACCUGUUGAACUGUCGGCUUGUCAGUGAAGAAACCUUGUGACAUGGCAAGUGUGCAUCCUUUGGAAUGUUUAUUGACAUCGGGUAGUAUACGAAGGAUUACUUUUCACCAGGGUAGGCUCCUGAAGUUCACGUGCAGGACAUCAGAGAUCAUCACGGCAGUGGAACCACCUUCCCUGUGAAACUGUAUCUAUUGUCGACAACAAACUGUUUCGUAAGGCUUUAGCUAACAUUGUAUAAUUAGGAAUUAAAAACAUGUUAUUUCAUUUACUUGCCGUACUUACAAGCGACUAAGGACGACACUGGUUAAGAAUGUACUACCAGGAAUUAUCAAAAUGCUACUUUGUUUACAUUGUCUGUCGUACUUACAAAUAUUGGGCAAGAUAUUACAUAGUAUUGUAUAAUUAGUAAUUACUAACACACUUCAUUGUUUAUUUUCCGUACUUUAUUGUUAUACUUCCCGUUUUCCCACUCCCCUCUGUAAUGCCUUCUGGCCUUGAGGGUACCAUAAAUAAAAAAAUAAAAAAAUAAAUAACUUAUAUUCAUCUUCGGGAAGGAUGGAAAUUCAGUGACUUGACUAAACAUCAGCCUAGUGUCGUUGUCGCUGUCAAAUACCGAUUUAAAAUAUUUAUUAAAAGCUUCAGAGAUAACAGGUGGUUUAGAACAUCGUUUACCG